AAUAGAUACCCAGGUAGUCCACGCCGUAAACGUUGGAUACUAGGUGUGGCGUCCCGAUCAACAGAUGCCGUGCCAAAGCUAACGCAUUAAGUAUCCCGCCUGGGGAGUACGGCCGCAAGGCUAAAACUCAAAGGAAUUGACGGGUCCCCGCACAAGCGGCGGAGCAUGCGGCUUAAUUCGAUGCAACCCGAAGAACCUUACCUGGGUUUGAAAUCAUGGGAAAAGCUGUAGAAAUACAGUGUCCGUAAGGGCCCAUGACAGGUGGUGCAUGGCUGUCGUCAGCUCGUGUCGUGAGAUGUUGGGUUAAGUCCCGCAACGAGCGCAACCCUUGUCCUAUGUUGCCAGCGGUUCGGCCGGGGACUCAUAGGAGACUGCCGGGGAUAACUCGGAGGAAGGUGAGGACGACGUCAAGUCAUCAUGCCCCUUAUAUCCAGGGCUGCACGCAUGCUACAAUGGUCAGUACAACGGGCAGCGACCCCGCGAGGGUGAGCGAAUCCCACAAAGCCGGCCUCAGUUCGGAUUGGAGUCUGCAAC
This 534-nucleotide ribosomal RNA is filed under the name uncultured bacterium. Its description in RNAcentral is "bacterial SSU rRNA". It matches the Rfam family "Bacterial small subunit ribosomal RNA", at positions 777 to 1311 of the family's 1533-position model. The record is from RNAcentral.